Molecule: non-coding RNA, 396 nt
Organism: Gorilla gorilla gorilla (western lowland gorilla)
Lineage: Eukaryota; Metazoa; Chordata; Mammalia; Primates; Hominidae
Source: the annotation of a RefSeq genome assembly
AUGAGGCUCCCUGCUCAGCUCCUGGGGCUGUUAAUGCUCUGGGUCCCUGGAUCCAGUGGGAACAUUGUGAUGACCCAGACUCCACUCUCCCUUCCUGUCACCCUUGGAGAGCCGGCCUCCAUCUCCUGCAGGUCUAGUCAGAGCCUCAAGGAUAGUGAUCAUGGAUUCAUCUAUUUGUAUUGGUACCUGCAGAAGCCAGGCCAGUCUCCACAGCUCCUGAUCUAUUUUGUUUCCUACCGGGCCUCUGGAGUCCCAGACAGGUUCAGUGGCAGUGGGUCAGGCACUGAUUUCACACUGGAAAUCAGCAGGGUGGAGGCUGAGGAUGUUGGGGUUUAUUACUGCAUGCAAAGAUUGCAGCUCCUCACCAGCAAUGGAUCAAAGCUGGACGGAGAAUGA